UAGGGAAUCUUCGGCAAUGGACGAAAGUCUGAUCGAGCAACGCCGCGUGAGUGAAGAAGGUUUUCGGAUCGUAAAACUCUGUUGUUAGAGAAGAACAAGGGUGAGAGUAACUGUUCACCCCUUGACGGUAUCUAACCAGAAAGCCACGGCUAACUACGUGCCAG
This 164-nucleotide ribosomal RNA is filed under the name uncultured bacterium. RNAcentral describes it as "partial 16S ribosomal RNA". It matches the Rfam family "Bacterial small subunit ribosomal RNA", at positions 355 to 511 of the family's 1533-position model. The record is from RNAcentral.